GUAUGUGGUCAGCCAUUACAAAAAAAAAAAAAAAAAAAAACUCACACACACACAAACAAAAACAAAAACAAAAAUAUUAAGAUAGGCAAUUCCAAAAAUCCGUCCUCAGUUCGGAUUGUAGGCUGUAACUCCCCUGUAUGAAGCCGGAAUCGCUAGUAAUCGCCGGUCAGUCAUACGGCGGUGAAUUCGUUCC
Molecule: non-coding RNA, 193 nt
Filed under: Cajanus cajan (pigeon pea)
Lineage: Eukaryota; Viridiplantae; Streptophyta; Magnoliopsida; Fabales; Fabaceae
Description: Bacterial small subunit ribosomal RNA
Rfam family: Bacterial small subunit ribosomal RNA
Source: Rfam by way of RNAcentral